Molecule: RNA transcript, 4957 nt
Organism: Diospyros lotus (date-plum)
Lineage: Eukaryota; Viridiplantae; Streptophyta; Magnoliopsida; Ericales; Ebenaceae
Exons: 3
Source: RefSeq, a predicted model, not a curated record
CUCACUCCCCAGCAAUAGCACCGGCGUCCUCACCAGUAUCACCACCGACGUCGGACCUCCGGCGUCCCCCCAGCAGCGGCGUCUCUCUGUUCUCGCCCUUCUUCAGGUAAAUGUUACUUUAGUUUUUUGAAAAUGCUCCGACGUCUCCCUGUUCUCUUUUAACGAUUUGAUUUCGUGCAUCUUUGAACGGAUUUUUUGACAUUGUUUCACUUGCUUUCGUGCAUCUCCGAAGUCCUAUUCAAUAUUUAAGUUUACAGUUAAGAACAUUGAUUCAAUUGGUUUACCAGUAGAAUAUAAGUGAAUAUUUAGUUUUCAUGUUUAUUGGAGCAAUUUCUCGAAGAUGGAAGCCACUGUCUUUAUAUGUAUAGCUCAAACUACUACUUAUACUUUUGUCCCCUAAACUUGAACCAUUCUUUUCUGUUUGAAAAAUUUUGUGGUUAUUAUGAUUUUUUACUCUUUCUUGAAAUAUGAUAUAUGUACCCUUAAAAUUUUCAAUUAAUAUAUAUUUAAUAGGGAAUGUAAUGUUACAAUUAAGACUCUAACCAUAUAAAACUAAUGUUACAAUUAAUGUUGAUUAGUUGUUUGCUUUUGUGUUUUUAUUUCUUUUGUAAUCAGAGAUGGUCUUUUUCAAAACUAAUUAGUUGUUUGUUUGGGCAGAUAGAAGAACAUUCUAACUAAAAAACUAAUAGAACUCGCCUUAAGAGAAUAGAUGGUGAGAUCACGGUAUCAACAACUUUACAUUUUCAUACUUUCCACAUUGUGAGAUUCUUGAUAUGUUGUUAGUUACAUGUUCAUACUUGACAAGAGAGUUUCACCAAAGCAAUCCAAACUUUUCUUGAACUACAAUAAUGCAGAAUUCACCAUAAUUUUAUCUACCCUCACUUGAAAACAAGUAGUUUGCAUUAUUCUUCACAAAUGGGUAAAAGAGCUUGUCAAUAAGAGCUACUCCAACCUUGUUAUAAAUGAAUGACCUUAUUUUUAGUUUUAUCUUUUCUUGUAUUGCUACACCGCUACCCUAACAUCUUCUUCUCUAUUACGUUCAUAUUUUGUACAUAUGGAUGCUCUACUGCUCAAAAUGAUGUUCCAUAUAACAUAGCUGGCCUUAUAGGCAUCUUAUAAAAUUUUCCUUUUAAAGGGUUUCUUUAUUAAAAAAAUUUGACAGCAAUGAUAAUAACCCAUAAUUGAUGGCUAAGAUUGCCGAUGAGAGUUUACUUUAUUAGGGUACCCUACCAUCACACAUAUUAAGUAGAUGAAUCAACUAUACAUAUUAACUGCUUUUAAGACCUAAAAUUGAUGUAUUUAUCAUUUGAUUACCACUGUAUGGGCUUAUGUUCUCUACCCUCUCUCUCUUUUUGCUUCCGAACAUCGCCUUAGUAUGUUUCAUCUGAAUAUCAAAUUCAUAACUUAUUCUCUUUGUAAACAUUUGUUGACUGUUAUCAAUCUUCUUUCACUAGCACUAACAACAUUGUAUGAUUGUUUGUGAUUAUGGAAGUGCUAUUCUUUUAAGUAUCAAGUGGUAAAAAGUCACAAAUGUAGUUGAUCUCACUAUUUUAUUUUCUUUCAUUUGUUUAAAACAUACAACCUAGUUUGUCAUAGUUAAAGACUUGGAUUUUACUGAUGGAUGCAAAUAUCACUAGUUCUUGUGAGGGAAUGAGUAUUCAAGACUUGAAUUUUAGUGAUGAUGAGAAAUCUCCUAUAGUUGAUGAAGGAUAUGGGGUUUCAAAUGAUCAGUAUGAAGAGGAUAUAAAUUGCGAGGUAGAUCCAAAAAUUGGAAUGACAUUUGACACAACAAAAGAAGCAUAUGAUUUUUAUAAUACAUAUGCAAGGCGAGUUGGCUUCAGUGUUAGGAUAUUAAGAACAAACAAGAAUAGAUCUGACAAAAAUAAAAUCCAACGGCAAGCACUAGUUUGUUCAUGUGAGGGCACUUCCAAAAAAAUCAAGACACCUGAAAAAAAAAAGAGAUAUUCGGUGAUUUGACUAUAAGGCAAAAUUUGUGAUUAAAUGGGUUUCCGACGAUAAGUAUAGACUAAUUGAGUUCAAAUCGGAGCAUACUCAUGAUCUUGUCCCACUUCAGCAUUCCCAUUAUUUGAGGUCUCAAAGGAAAAUCGAUUUUUCACAAGCUGAACUUAUGAAGAAAAUGCGUUCCUCUGGAAUAAAACAAGGACAAAUUUUCUCCUACAUGUGUGAAGAAGUUGGUGGAGCCCAAAACCUUAAUUUCACAAAAGCUGAUUGUAACAAUUUAUUGCAAAGAACACGGGCUAAAUUUUUCAAGACUGGUGAUGCCGAAUGUCUCCUUGAAUACUUCAAACAAAAGAAAGGGGAAAACAAACAUUUUUUUUACUCUUUACGAACCCAUGAAGAUGGUGAGAUAUGCAGUGUAUUUUUUUGUGAUGCAAAAUCGAGACGAGAUUAUGGGAUAUUUGGUGAUGUGAUAUGUUUCGAUACAACAUUUUAAACAAACAAUUAUGAUAUGUUAUGUGCACCAAUUGUUGGCAUCAACCAUCAUGGGCAAACAUCACUUUUUGGAUGUGGUCUACUAGAUGGUGAAACAAUUGAUGCGGUAAUGUGGUUAUUUACUACUUUCUUUGAGGCUAUGGGAGGAAAAAAAUCGAAAAGCAUAUUUACAGAUCAGUCUGCAGCUAUAUCAAGUGUUGUUGAUGCGAUAUUGUCUGAAGCCCACCAUGGAUUGUGCUUGUGGCAUUUAUGUCAAAAUGUUGCAAAGAAUUUGAGUAAUAAUGGAUAUAAAACAUUUGCACCACAAUUCAAAGCUUGUAUUUACAAUCCAGAAACAGUUGAAGAAUUUGAACAAAGUUGGGACAAAUUGCUUGAAGAUAAUGGGCUAAGAGGUAAUGAGUGGUUGCAAAGAACAUAUAAGUUGAGAAAGAAAUGGGCUCAAGUGUAUAGUCAUGCUCACUUUUGUGCUGGCAUGACUAUUUCACAGAGAAGUGAAAGUAUCAAUAAGUUUUUGAAGGAUUAUUUUAAUCAUGGUAGAAUUGUUCUUCGGGAGUUUGUAAGUCUAUACUCUAGGGCCAUGGAUAAUCGCCGUGAAAAAGAAAGGGAGGCUGAACAUUUAACACAACAAACAACACCUAAUUUUAUUUGUAAUUGGUCUGUAGAGCGUGAAGCAGCAUGAAAAUAUACAAAAAAAAUAUUUUAUUGGUUUCAAGAAUGUAUUAAGCAAACUAUUGAGUUGUCAUUGGAAUUGGAGAAUGAUGAUGGAACUAUUCGUACUUAUAGAGCUAAAGAGAUUGAAGGUCGAAAAAGGAUUUGCACACUUACAUACAACCACUUGGAACAAACAGUGUCAUGCACAUGUAGAAAAUUUGAGUUCGAUGGAAUCCUUUGUUCGCAUGCAUUGAAGUUGUUCCGCCACUUAGAGUUCAAAAGUUUACCUCCUGAAUACUAUUUGAAAAGAUGGACACGAGCAGCUACAUAUGAAGUUAUUUGUGAUCCCAUGGGAGAGAUAAUUUCAAAUGACAACGAUCCAAUGCUAACAGCUCAUUAUAGUGAGUUAUCACAUAUUUCACAAAGAAUUGUGUCGAAGGGUUCAAGGUGUAUUGAUGUUUUUUCAUUAAGCAAAUCACUAUUGCUAGAAGUACAAGCAAAAAUUGACGCCUUUAUAGCCUCUGAUGAAGAUGUGAACAAGAGUAUUCCAAUCAACACACAUCAUAAAUCGGUAUCAAACAUGCAGCAGGAGGCACAAUUGAGAGAGCCAACAAAAAGACGCUUUAAAGGCCAAUCUAGCAAAAGAAUUAAAGGUCCAUUGGAAAGCAAAUCACGAAAGAAGAAUUCACCAAAAGUAAUGGGUCAGUUACUAACCAAACUUACUUGUAUACUUGCAUUAAUAUAUUCAUUUACAGGAUUUUAUGUAUGUGAUAAAGAAAAAUAACACGACGUCUUUUUAAGAUGGCAUGACAGGUAAUAGGGAUGCAGCCCACGUCAUGACUGGAGGAGCCUUAAACUCUAAUCAUGUUGUAGAGGCGGGGGUGGUUGGAAUGGCGCAACAAGGAUAUUAUAACAAUAAUAGUUGGCAAUGGAUGCAUAUAAGAGACACAUUUCCACAUGCAAGCUUAUCACUUCAAGGCUUGUUUCAACCGUGGAAUGUUACGUCUCAACAUAGGGAAUUCCUCUCAAAUGAUUUCUUAAUGUCACAGGAGGUACAUCAAUUCUAUAUGUAUUAAUAACCUAUUUUAACUUGUAGGUCUUUAUAUUGAGAACACUUUUCUAAUAGACUUGUUAACAUAACCCAUGAUAUAUAUACAUAUAUAGGCUUCUUCAUUACAAAUGUUUGCAUCUCCGACAAUAACUACAAGCCAACAAGUUGUGAGUUCAUCAACAUCAAACAUUAUGAAGUAAUUGACAUUGUAAAAAGCAGUGGUUCACUAAGUGUAAGUUACUAAGUAUAAGGUUAGUUUGUUUGAAAACUCAAAAAUUCCUUGGAGAAUCCUUCUUUAGCUUUGGUUUUGUUCAGAUUUUGAAGUUGCUAGUGUGAACUAAACAACGCAUCCUAAGCUCAAUUGGGCGAGGCCACGGAAAAAGAAACCUUAUUUUGCCAUGCAGCGUAAGUUCGUGCCUAUCCGCAACUUGUUUGUUGCAAAUUUUUCAUACGAAAUCACGGCUGAGGAUCUUAAGGAGUUUUUCAAUUCUGAAAAUGCCAAUGUUGUUUUUGCGGAAAUUAUAUUUCAUGAAAAUCCAAGGUCUGUUGGGUAUGGAUUUGUAUUCUCCAAUUCCAAGGAGGCUGAAGCUACUCUCACUGCUUUUCAAGGAAAGUUAUGUAUGGGAAGACCAAUUUGAGUGGCUCCUAGCAGAAGAUUUUUGAGACAAGCAACGAAAAUGAGUACUCAAUUGAAGAAUACGUCAAAUAAACCAAACCCUGAUGUUGAACAAGCAGAAGCCCUUGAAGCUUGAUGGUGAAUUUUCUUGGACAGUUUAGGUUUUCAGUGUUUUCUUUUGAAGU